GAUGAACGCUGGCGGCGUGCCUAAUACAUGCAAGUCGAGCGAACAGACGAGGAGCUUGCUCCUCUGACGUUAGCGGCGGACGGGUGAGUAACACGUGGAUAACCUACCUAUAAGACUGGGAUAACUUCGGGAAACCGGAGCUAAUACCGGAUAAUAUAUUGAACCGCAUGGUUCAAUAGUGAAAGACGGUUUUGCUGUCACUUAUAGAUGGAUCCGCGCCGCAUUAGCUAGUUGGUAAGGUAACGGCUUACCAAGGCGACGAUGCGUAGCCGACCUGAGAGGGUGAUCGGCCACACUGGAACUGAGACACGGUCCAGACUCCUACGGGAGGCAGCAGUAGGGAAUCUUCCGCAAUGGGCGAAAGCCUGACGGAGCAACGCCGCGUGAGUGAUGAAGGUCUUCGGAUCGUAAAACUCUGUUAUUAGGGAAGAACAAAUGUGUAAGUAACUAUGCACGUCUUGACGGAACCUAAUCAGAAAGCCACGGCUAACUACGUG
This 497-nucleotide ribosomal RNA is filed under the name uncultured bacterium. Its description in RNAcentral is "partial 16S ribosomal RNA". It matches the Rfam family "Bacterial small subunit ribosomal RNA", at positions 28 to 507 of the family's 1533-position model. The record is from RNAcentral.